GGGAGUUUGGUCUAGUGGUAUGAUUCUCGCUUAGGGUGCGAGAGGUCGUGGGUUCAAUUCCCGCAACUCCCC
Transfer RNA from Gonium pectorale, 72 nucleotides. It matches the Rfam family "tRNA". Rfam says of the family: Transfer RNA (tRNA) molecules are approximately 80 nucleotides in length. Their secondary structure includes four short double-helical elements and three loops (D, anti-codon, and T loops). The record is from Rfam. NCBI's taxonomy places the organism in Eukaryota, Viridiplantae, Chlorophyta, Chlorophyceae, Chlamydomonadales, Volvocaceae.